RNAcentral lists this ribosomal RNA (253 nucleotides) under uncultured bacterium. RNAcentral describes it as "partial 16S ribosomal RNA". It matches the Rfam family "Bacterial small subunit ribosomal RNA", at positions 524 to 776 of the family's 1533-position model. The record is from RNAcentral.
UACGCAGGUCCCAAGCGUUAUCCGGAUUUAUUGGGUUUAAAGGGUGCGUAGGCGGUCUAUUAAGUCAGUGGUGAAAGCCCCAAGCUUAACUUGGGAACUGCCAUUGAUACUGAUGGUCUUGAGUACAUUUGAGGUGGGCGGAAUGUGUCAUGUAGCGGUGAAAUGCUUAGAUAUGACACAGAACACCGAUUGCGAAGGCAGCUCACUAAACUGUAACUGACGCUGAGGCACGAAAGCGUGGGGAGCAAACAGG